Molecule: ribosomal RNA, 701 nt
Filed under: Corynebacterium coyleae
Lineage: Bacteria; Bacillati; Actinomycetota; Actinomycetes; Mycobacteriales; Corynebacteriaceae
Description: bacterial SSU rRNA
Rfam family: Bacterial small subunit ribosomal RNA
Source: RNAcentral
CUGCUUGCAGUGGUACUCGAGUGGCGAACGGGUGAGUAACACGUGGGUGAUCUGCCCCGCACUUCGGGAUAAGCCUGGGAAACUGGGUCUAAUACCGGAUAGGACCACUUCUUGGAGGUUGUGGUGGAAAGUUUUUUCGGUGUGGGAUGAGCUCGCGGCCUAUCAGCUUGUUGGUGGGGUAAUGGCCUACCAAGGCGUCGACGGGUAGCCGGCCUGAGAGGGUGUACGGCCACAUUGGGACUGAGAUACGGCCCAGACUCCUACGGGAGGCAGCAGUGGGGAAUAUUGCACAAUGGGCGCAAGCCUGAUGCAGCGACGCCGCGUGGGGGAUGACGGCCUUCGGGUUGUAAACUCCUUUCGCUAGGGACGAAGCGUUAUGUGACGGUACCUAGAGAAGAAGCACCGGCUAACUACGUGCCAGCAGCCGCGGUAAUACGUAGGGUGCGAGCGUUGUCCGGAAUUACUGGGCGUAAAGAGCUCGUAGGUGGUUUGUCGCGUCGUUUGUGUAAGCCCGCAGCUUAACUGCGGGACUGCAGGCGAUACGGGCAUAACUUGAGUGCUGUAGGGGAGACUGGAAUUCCUGGUGUAGCGGUGGAAUGCGCAGAUAUCAGGAGGAACACCGAUGGCGAAGGCAGGUCUCUGGGCAGUAACUGACGCUGAGGAGCGAAAGCAUGGGGAGCGAACAGGAUUAGAUACCCUGG